GGAUUGCCUCAGUAACGGCGAGUGAAGCGGCAACAGCUCAAAUUUGAAAUCUGGCCGCAAGGUCCGAGUUGUAAUUUGUAGAGGAUGCUUUUGGCAAGGUGACUUCCGAGUUCCCUGGAACGGGACGCCAUAGAGGGUGAGAGCCCCGUACGGUCGUGCCACCGAGCCUCUGUAAAGCUCCUUCGACGAGUCGAGUAGUUUGGGAAUGCUGCUCUAAAUGGGAGGUGUACGUCUUCUAAAGCUAAAUACCGGCCAGAGACCGAUAGCGCACAAGUAGAGUGAUCGAAAGAUGAAAAGCACUUUGAAAAGAGGGUUAAAAAGUACGUGAAAUUGUUGAAAGGGAAGCAUUCAUGACCAGACUUGGGCUUGGUUGAACAUCCGGCGUUCUCGCCGGUGCACUCUGCCAGCUCAGGCCAGCAUCAGUUUGCCCCGGGGGACAAAGGCGGCGGGAAUGUGGCUCUCUACGGGGAGUGUUAUAGCCCGUCGUGUAAUGCCCUGGGGUGGACUGAGGUUCGCGCUUCGGCACGGAUGCUGGCGUAAUGGUCAUCAAUGACCCGUCUUGAAACACGGACCAAGGAGUCGUCUUCGUAUGCGAGUGUUCGGGUGUCAAACCCCUACGCGUAAUGAAAGUGAACGUAGGUGAGAGCUUCGGCGCAUCACCGACCGAUCCUGAUGUUCUCGGAUGGAUUUGAGUAAGAGCAUACGGGGCCGGACCCGAAAGAAGGUGAACUAUGCCUGUAUAGGGUGAAGCCAGAGGAAACUCUGGUGGAGGCUCGCAGCGGUUCUGACGUGCAAAUCGAUCGUCAAAUAUGGGCAUGGGGGCGAAAGACUAAUCGAACCUUCUAGUAGCUGGUUUCCGCCGAU
RNAcentral lists this ribosomal RNA (864 nucleotides) under Sarocladium sp. 2 HM-2018. Its description in RNAcentral is "LSU rRNA". It matches the Rfam family "Eukaryotic large subunit ribosomal RNA", at positions 72 to 965 of the family's 3401-position model. Lineage: Eukaryota; Fungi; Ascomycota; Sordariomycetes; Hypocreales; Sarocladiaceae. The record is from RNAcentral.